GAUAGGAAGAAAUUCUAAAACAAGUUGAUGAGUUCUUGAACACCAAGGUUGCACCUCAAGAGCUUGUGGAUGAGCUUAAGUAACAAUAAAUGAUGAAGAUAUUGAUGUUGAUCCAACAAUGGAGCCUUACUUUGUUGAUCUUGAUGAUUAGAAUAUAUGUUGUUUUAUUGUUAGUUUUUAUUAUUAAUGUACUUUGUUAUUAGUUAUAUGAAUGUAAUUGAUAUUUCAACUCAACUCAAAUUAUAAUUAGGAUAUUUGUUUAUAACUUUA
Cannabis sativa is the source of this 270-nucleotide long non-coding RNA. RefSeq lists it as uncharacterized. Lineage: Eukaryota; Viridiplantae; Streptophyta; Magnoliopsida; Rosales; Cannabaceae. The record is from RefSeq and is a predicted model, not a curated record. The transcript has 3 exons.